RNAcentral lists this transfer RNA (74 nucleotides) under Candidatus Opitulatrix cubana. RNAcentral describes it as "tRNA-Val". It matches the Rfam family "tRNA". From Rfam's summary of the family: Transfer RNA (tRNA) molecules are approximately 80 nucleotides in length. Their secondary structure includes four short double-helical elements and three loops (D, anti-codon, and T loops). Lineage: Bacteria; Bacillati; Actinomycetota; Actinomycetes; Bifidobacteriales; Bifidobacteriaceae. The record is from RNAcentral.
GGGCGAUUGGCGCAGUUGGUUAGCGCGUUUCCUCGACACGGAAGAGGUCGCUGGUUCAAAUCCAGUAUCGCCCA